CUCUCAGUAAAAUUCAUGCUUCGGAAACAGGUGGACACAUGCCUAACUCACUGUACUAUCCCCCAGCAACUGUGACCUCCCCAAGAACCCCCUGUUCAUCGCGUGUGGCGGCCAGCGAAACAACAGCCACAGCUCAAAAGUGCAGAAAAAUGGUUUCUAUAGGAAUUUGACUGCAUCUGUAAUCAAGCACACUGGAAAAAAUAUAAACUAUACAGAAAGAGGCGUGUUCUAUCACGUGGAUUCCUGG
Molecule: long non-coding RNA, 247 nt
Filed under: Cavia porcellus (domestic guinea pig)
Lineage: Eukaryota; Metazoa; Chordata; Mammalia; Rodentia; Caviidae
Description: lncRNA (ENSCPOG00000030646.1)
Source: RNAcentral